GCAUUGGUGGUUCAGUGGUAGAAUUCUCGUUUGCCAUGCGGGAGACCCGGGUCCGAUUCCUGGCCAACGCA
This 71-nucleotide transfer RNA is filed under the name Danio rerio (zebrafish). It matches the Rfam family "tRNA". Rfam says of the family: Transfer RNA (tRNA) molecules are approximately 80 nucleotides in length. The record is from Rfam by way of RNAcentral. Lineage: Eukaryota; Metazoa; Chordata; Actinopteri; Cypriniformes; Danionidae.